AUUGAACGCUGGCGGCAUGCCUUACACAUGCAAGUCGAACGGCAGCGGGGGAGAAGCUUGCUUUUCCUGCCGGCGAGUGGCGAACGGGCGAGUAAUACAUCGGAACGUGCCCUGUAGUGGGGGAUAACUAGUCGAAAGAUUAGCUAAUACCGCAUACGACCUGAGGGUGAAAGUGGGGGACCGCAAGGCCUCAUGCUAUAGGAGCGGCCGAUGUCUGAUUAGCUAGUUGGUGGGGUAAAGGCCUACCAAGGCGACGAUCAGUAGCUGGUCUGGGAGGACAAUCAGCCACACGGGGACUGAGACACGGCCCAGACUCCUACGGGAGGAGGCAGUGGUGAAUUUUGGACAAUGGGCGAAAGCCUGAUCCAGCAAUGCCGCGUGUGUGAAGAAGGCCUUCGGGUUGUAAAGCACUUUUGUCCGGAAAGAAAUGGCUCUGGUUAAUACCGGGGGUCGAUGACGGUACCGGAAGAAUAAGGACCGGCUAACUACGUGCCAGCCGCCGCCGUAA
This 508-nucleotide ribosomal RNA is filed under the name uncultured bacterium. RNAcentral's name for it is "partial 16S ribosomal RNA". It matches the Rfam family "Bacterial small subunit ribosomal RNA", at positions 30 to 523 of the family's 1533-position model. The record is from RNAcentral.